AAGGGCCCGCAGGGCCUCCAGUAGCAAAGCCACUGGCCCCGCGUCCCCGCGUCCCCCUGCGCCGCGCCCCGGGGCGCAGGCAGGGACCACGCGGCCGGCGUGGGGGCGGCGCCACCCGCAGCAGAAAGCCCCGGCGUGGACCGCGUGGCGUAGGAAAGCGCUCCCCUCGCCCCCAGCCGCAGAGGGCUUGGGCAGCAUCGGGCGCGGCCCCGGGAGAGUGCGUCCGCGGCGCCAGCGGCUGCAGGGUGACCUGUUUCGGGCGGGGACACUCACCAGAAGAACACGCGUGAGCAGAGGACCAAACGACGGUGCCAUGGGAGGCUCUUCAACCUGUGAGCCAAACAUUUGACCUUGGACGACAGCAAAGUUUAGCCACAGAUUAUCCUUGUAGAGCUGCAAGACCUCAAGAAAGCCGGAUUGGGAAAGGAAUAUAAGAGGAAAGAGAGACUGCCUGAUGAUUUCUGUCGUCAAGCCCUAAAGCCUAACAGAUAACAGUGGCAAACGACACGUGGGUUCCAGAAU
This 522-nucleotide long non-coding RNA is filed under the name Homo sapiens (human). RNAcentral's name for it is "HSALNT0205522". Lineage: Eukaryota; Metazoa; Chordata; Mammalia; Primates; Hominidae. The record is from RNAcentral.